RNAcentral lists this ribosomal RNA (433 nucleotides) under uncultured bacterium. Its description in RNAcentral is "partial 16S ribosomal RNA". It matches the Rfam family "Bacterial small subunit ribosomal RNA", at positions 29 to 507 of the family's 1533-position model. The record is from RNAcentral.
AACGAACGCUGGCGGCAUGCCUAACACAUGCAAGUCGAACGAGACCUUCGGGUCUAGUGGCGCACGGGUGCGUAACGCGUGGGAACCUGCCCUUAGGUUCGGAAUAACUCCCCGAAAGGGGUGCUAAUACCGGAUAAUUUCUUCGGACCAAAGAUUGAUCGCCUUUGGAUGGGCCCGCGUUGGAUUAGCUAGUUGGUAGGGUAAAAGCCUACCAAGGCGACGAUCCAUAGCUGGUCUGAGAGGAUGAUCAGCCACACUGGGACGGAGACACGGCCCGGACUCCUACGGGAGGCAGCAGUGGGGAAUAUUGGACAAUGGGCGAAAGCCUGAUGCAGCAAUGCCGCGUGAGUGAUGAAGGCCUUAGGGUUGUAAAGCUCUUUUACCCGGGAUGAUAAUGACAGUACCGGGAGAAUAAGCACCGGCUAACUCCGUG